RNAcentral lists this ribosomal RNA (424 nucleotides) under Fusobacteriota bacterium. RNAcentral describes it as "Fusobacteria bacterium partial 16S ribosomal RNA". It matches the Rfam family "Bacterial small subunit ribosomal RNA", at positions 355 to 776 of the family's 1533-position model. The record is from RNAcentral. Lineage: Bacteria; Fusobacteriati; Fusobacteriota.
UGAGGAAUAUUGGUCAAUGGGCGAGAGCCUGAACCAGCCAAGUAGCGUGCAGGAUGACGGCCCUAUGGGUUGUAAACUGCUUUUAUGUGGGGAUAAAGUGCGUGACGUGUCAUGCAUUGCAGGUACCACAUGAAUAAGGACCGGCUAAUUCCGUGCCAGCAGCCGCGGUAAUACGGAAGGUCCGGGCGUUAUCCGGACUUAUUGGGUUUAAAGGGAGCGUAGGCUGUCUAUUAAGCGUGUUGUGAAAUUUACCGGCUCAACCGGUGGCUUGCAGCGCGAACUGGUCGACUUGAGUAUGCAGGAAGUAGGCGGAAUUCAUGGUGUAGCGGUGAAAUGCUUAGAUAUCAUGACGAACUCCGAUUGCGCAGGCAGCUUACUGUAGCAUAACUGACGCUGAUGCUCGAAAGUGCGGGUAUCAAACAGG